This 444-nucleotide ribosomal RNA is filed under the name uncultured soil bacterium. Its description in RNAcentral is "bacterial SSU rRNA". It matches the Rfam family "Bacterial small subunit ribosomal RNA", at positions 26 to 518 of the family's 1533-position model. The record is from RNAcentral.
AGAACGAACGCUGGCGGCAGGCCUAACACAUGCAAGUCGAACGCUCCAGCAAUGGAGAGUGGCAGACGGGUGAGUAACACGUGGGAACCUUCCCUAUGGUUCGGAAUAGCUCAGGGAAACUUGGGGUAAUACCGGAUAAGCCCUUCGGGGGAAAGAUUUAUCGCCAUUGGAUGGGCCCGCGUCGGAUUAGCUAGUUGGUGAGGUAACGGCUCACCAAGGCAACGAUCCGUAGCUGGUCUGAGAGGAUGAUCAGCCACACUGGGACUGAGACACGGCCCAGACUCCUACGGGAGCAGCAGUGGGGAAUAUGGACAAUGGGCGCAAGCCUGAUCCAGCCAUGCCGCGUGAGUGACGAAGGUCUUCGGAUUGUAAAACUCUUUUGGCGGGACGAUAAUGACGGUACCCGCAGAAUAAGCCCGGACUAACUUCGUGCCAGCACGCCGC